This is a non-coding RNA of Acanthosepion pharaonis, 109 nucleotides long. NCBI's taxonomy places the organism in Eukaryota, Metazoa, Mollusca, Cephalopoda, Sepiida, Sepiidae. The record is from the annotation of a GenBank genome assembly.
UUACGGUCAUAUCAGGUUGAAACACCGCUUCUCGUACGGCCACCUAAGUUAAGCAACGUUGAACCUGGUUUGUACUUAGAUGGGUGACCGCGAAUAGCAGCUGAUGUAA